Molecule: ribosomal RNA, 492 nt
Filed under: uncultured bacterium
Lineage: Bacteria
Description: partial 16S ribosomal RNA
Rfam family: Bacterial small subunit ribosomal RNA
Source: RNAcentral
AGUGAACGCUGGCGGUAGGCCUAACACAUGCAAGUCGAACGGCAGCACAGUAAGAGCUUGCUCUUACGGGUGGCGAGUGGCGGACGGGUGAGGAAUACAUCGGAAUCUACUUUUUCGUGGGGGAUAACGUAGGGAAACUUACGCUAAUACCGCAUACGACCUACGGGUGAAAGCAGGGGAUCUUCGGACCUUGCGCGAUUGAAUGAGCCGAUGUCGGAUUAGCUAGUUGGCGGGGUAAAGGCCCACCAAGGCGACGAUCCGUAGCUGGUCUGAGAGGAGGGUCGGCCACACUGGAAGUGAGACACGGUCCAGACUCCUACGGGAGGCAGCAGUGGGGAAUAUUGGACAAUGGGCGGAAGCCUGAUCCAGCCAUACCGCGUGGGUGAAGAAGGCCUUCGGGUUGUAAAGACCUUUUGUUGGGAAAGAAAAGCAGCAGGUUAAUACCACGCUGUUCUGACGGUACCCAAAGAAUAAGCACCGGCUAACUUCGUG